RNAcentral lists this ribosomal RNA (484 nucleotides) under uncultured bacterium. RNAcentral describes it as "partial 16S ribosomal RNA". It matches the Rfam family "Bacterial small subunit ribosomal RNA", at positions 30 to 507 of the family's 1533-position model. The record is from RNAcentral.
AUUGAACACUGGCGGCAGGCCUAACACAUGCAAGUCGAGCGGAUGAAGGGAGCUUGCUCCUGGAUUCAGCGGCGGACGGGUGAGUAAUGCCUAGGAAUCUGCCUGGUAGUGGGGGAUAACGUCCGGAAACGGGCGCUAAUACCGCAUACGUCCUGAGGGAGAAAGUGGGGGAUCUUCGGACCUCACGCUAUCAGAUGAGCCUAGGUCGGAUUAGCUAGUUGGUGGGGUAAAGGCCUACCAAGGCGACGAUCCGUAACUGGUCUGAGAGGAUGAUCAGUCACACUGGAACUGAGACACGGUCCAGACCCCUACGGGAGGCAGCAGUGGGGAAUAUUGGACAAUGGGCGAAAGCCUGAUCCAGCCAUGCCGCGUGUGUGAAGAAGGUCUUCGGAUUGUAAAGCACUUUAAGUUGGGAGGAAGGGCAGUAAGUUAAUACCUUGCUGUUUUGACGUUACCAACAGAAUAAGCACCGGCUAACUUCGUG